GAAACCCUGCCGUGUUCGUGGUCAAGCUGGCUUUGUUAUGAGCCAACAUCAUAACAAAGGGAUCCUGAUCUCUGGCUGUGGCGAUCACGCCCCCUGUGCGGGGACGGUCAAAGCAGUUAGGAGGGAACCCACCUGCUGGGAGCAGGUUCAUUCAAGUCAGGAUCAGCGACACGGCGGGGGUGCG
Molecule: non-coding RNA, 184 nt
Filed under: Bacillota bacterium
Lineage: Bacteria; Bacillati; Bacillota
Also listed under: 1 other name
Description: 6S RNA
Rfam family: 6S / SsrS RNA
About the family: E. coli 6S RNA was the first non coding RNA to be sequenced, but its function was unknown until recently. It consists of 184 nucleotides that fold into an extended hairpin structure with a large single-stranded internal bulge. The 6S RNA specifically associates with RNA polymerase holoenzyme containing the sigma70 specificity factor.
Source: RNAcentral